UGGGGAAUAUUGCACAAUGGAGGAAACUCUGAUGCAGCGACGCCGCGUGAGCGAAGAAGUAUUUCGGUAUGUAAAGCUCUAUCAGCAGGGAAGAUAAUGACGGUACCUGACUAAGAAGCUCCGGCUAAAUACGUGCCAGCAGCCGCGGUAAUACGUAUGGAGCAAGCGUUAUCCGGAUUUACUGGGUGUAAAGGGAGCGUAGGCGGUUCUGCAAGUCUGAUGUGAAAAUCCGGGGCUCAACCCCGGAAAUGCAUUGGAAACUGCAGGACUUGAGUAUCGGAGAGGCAAGUGGAAUUCCUAGUGUAGCGGUGAAAUGCGUAGAUAUUAGGAGGAACACCAGUGGCGAAGGCGGCUUGCUGGACGAUAACUGACGCUGAGGCACGAAAGCGUGGGGAGCAAACAGG
This 404-nucleotide ribosomal RNA is filed under the name uncultured prokaryote. RNAcentral's name for it is "bacterial SSU rRNA". It matches the Rfam family "Bacterial small subunit ribosomal RNA", at positions 355 to 776 of the family's 1533-position model. The record is from RNAcentral. RNAcentral also lists the same sequence under 1 other name.